RNAcentral lists this ribosomal RNA (584 nucleotides) under uncultured bacterium. RNAcentral describes it as "partial 16S ribosomal RNA". It matches the Rfam family "Bacterial small subunit ribosomal RNA", at positions 355 to 937 of the family's 1533-position model. The record is from RNAcentral.
UGGGGAAUUUUGGACAAUGGGCGAAAGCCUGAUCCAGCAAUGCCGCGUGUGUGAAGAAGGCCUUCGGGUUGUAAAGCACUUUUGUCCGGAAAGAAAUCCUUGGCUCUAAUACAGUCGGGGGAUGACGGUACCGGAAGAAUAAGCACCGGCUAACUACGUGCCAGCAGCCGCGGUAAUACGUAGGGUGCAAGCGUUAAUCGGAAUUACUGGGCGUAAAGCGUGCGCAGGCGGUUUGCUAAGACCGAUGUGAAAUCCCCGGGCUCAACCUGGGAACUGCAUUGGUGACUGGCAGGCUAGAGUAUGGCAGAGGGGGGUAGAAUUCCACGUGUAGCAGUGAAAUGCGUAGAGAUGUGGAGGAAUACCGAUGGCGAAGGCAGCCCCCUGGGCCAAUACUGACGCUCAUGCACGAAAGCGUGGGGAGCAAACAGGAUUAGAUACCCUGGUAGUCCACGCCCUAAACGAUGUCAACUAGUUGUCGGGGAUUCAUUUCCUUAGUAACGUAGCUAACGCGUGAAGUUGACCGCCUGGGGAGUACGGUCGCAAGAUUAAAACUCAAAGGAAUUGACGGGGUCAUAGCUGUUUCC